UACAGGGGUCCCAAGCGUUGUUCGGAUUUACUGGGCGUAAAGGGCGCGUAGGCGGUUUGGUAAGUCUGACGUGAAAUCUCCGGGCCUAACCCGGAAACUGCCUUGGAUACUAUUUGACUAGAGGAAUGGAGGGGAGACUGGAAUACUUGGUGUAGCAGUGAAAUGCGUAGAUAUCAAGUGGAACACCAGUGGCGAAGGCGAGUCUCUGGACAGUUCCUGACGCUGAGGCGCGAAAGCCAGGGGAGCAAACGGG
This 253-nucleotide ribosomal RNA is filed under the name uncultured bacterium. RNAcentral's name for it is "partial 16S ribosomal RNA". It matches the Rfam family "Bacterial small subunit ribosomal RNA", at positions 524 to 776 of the family's 1533-position model. The record is from RNAcentral.